This 506-nucleotide ribosomal RNA is filed under the name uncultured bacterium. RNAcentral describes it as "partial 16S ribosomal RNA". It matches the Rfam family "Bacterial small subunit ribosomal RNA", at positions 29 to 523 of the family's 1533-position model. The record is from RNAcentral.
AGUGAACGCUGGCGGUAGGCCUAACACAUGCAAGUCGAACGGCAGCACAGGAGAGCUUGCUCUCUGGGUGGCGAGUGGCGGACGGGUGAGGAAUACAUCGGAAUCUACUCUGUCGUGGGGGAUAACGUAGGGAAACUUACGCUAAUACCGCAUACGACCUACGGGUGAAAGCAGGGGACCUUCGGGCCUUGCGCGAUUGAAUGAGCCGAUGUCGGAUUAGCUAGCUGGCGGGGUAAAGGCCCACCAAGGCGACGAUCCGUAGCCGGUCUGAGAGGAUGAUCAGCCACACUGGAACUGAGACACGGUCCAGACUCCUACGGGAGGCAGCAGUGGGGAAUAUUGGACAAUGGGCGCAAGCCUGAUCCAGCCAUACCGCGUGGGUGAAGAAGGCCUUCGGGUUGUAAAGCCCUUUUGUUGGGAAAGAAAUCCAGCUGGCUAAUACCCGGUUGGGAUGACGGUACCCAAAGAAUAAGCACCGGCUAACUUCGUGCCAGCCGCCGCGGUAA